GCGGGGGUGUCCUAGUUAGGUCAAUGGAGUAGCGCUGAGGUCGCUAUGGUGUAGGCCUCCGUGGGUUCAAAUCCCAUCCCCCGCACCA
RNAcentral lists this transfer RNA (88 nucleotides) under Candidatus Heimdallarchaeota archaeon. Its description in RNAcentral is "tRNA-Leu". It matches the Rfam family "tRNA". Rfam says of the family: Transfer RNA (tRNA) molecules are approximately 80 nucleotides in length. Their secondary structure includes four short double-helical elements and three loops (D, anti-codon, and T loops). The record is from RNAcentral. RNAcentral also lists the same sequence under 2 other names. Lineage: Archaea; Promethearchaeati; Candidatus Heimdallarchaeota.